UUGCAGGAGUGGAUGAACCACAUCAUGUGUCUUUCAGCAGCUCUGACUUCCAUUGGGGUCCACGGUCUCCUCAUAGCACCCCUGCAAUCACCGGAGUGGGAGAGGAAAGGCAACCACAGCCACAUGGAGGACACUAGGACCCAGUGCCAGGGAGAAUGGGUCCUACGGAGCGGGAAGACAGACCCCGGGGAUUGGCUGGCUCGGAUCGGGCUGAAGGAGGAGGAGGGGUUGGCGCCGAGGGGAGAGGGGAACCUCCGCCGACCGGUAGAAAGAGAGAGCCACUUGCGGGAGGACCGGAUGCUGCACACCGCCGCGCUGACAUCGGCCGUGUGGAAGAGGGAAAGCAGCUGCUGGAGUCAGCGCUACCGCUGACGGAGAGGGAGUCACCAGCCAGCCGUGGAGGAGAGCCGCGGGCAGGGGAGAGCAAGCCGCCAGACAGUGCAGGAGAAGGGGAUAAGUGCUGCUGCAGCCGCGGCAGGAGCCGACUGCGAUCUGGGGAGCGCCGUGCACCUGAGCACCCAAGAGGAAGGGAGAACCACAUCUGGACCCCGAACAGAACCAGGCAACCACAGCCACAUGGAGGACACUAGGACCCAGUGCCAGGGAGAAUGGGUCCUACGGAGCGGGAAGACAGACCCCGGUGAUUGGAUUACUCGGAUCGGGCUGAAGGAGGAGGAGGGGUUGGCGCCGAGGGGAGAGAGGAUGGUCGGUGUGUGACACGCGGCUGACCUCCGCCAACCGGUAGCAAGAGAGAGCCACUUGCGGGAGGACCGGAUGCUGCACACCGCCGCGCUGACAGCGGCCGUGUGGAAGAGGGAAAGCAGCUGCUGGAGUCAGCGCUACCGAUGACAGAGAGAGAGCCGCCAGCCAGCCGUGGAGGAGAGCCGUGGGCAGGGAAGAGCAGCCGCUGGAGUCAGCGCUACCGCUGACGGAGAAGGAGCCGCCAGCCAGCCGUGGAGGACAGCCGCGGGCAGGGGAGACCAAGCCGCCAGACAGCGCAGGAGAAGGGGAUAAGUGCUGCUGCAGCCGCGGCAGGAGCCGACUGCGAUCUGGGGAGCACCGUGCGCCUGAGCACCCAAGAGGAAGGGAGAACCACAUCUGGACCCCGAACAGAACCAGGUACCUGCUCCCCAUGUUGAGCCCCCCCCCCUAUAUUAGUCAGGAUCUAGAGACAGCCCUGUCCACUCAUUCCCUGGAAAUCACACCAAGACCCGGAUAUGCGGCACCAACCAAUCCAUUGUGCAACCCUCCCCGUUACCACUGAUGCCUGGUCACUAAACAUUUAACCCCGUAUCAUCCCUAACCCCUAUAUUCCUUUGGAGUUACUACGAGCCUUACGUGGACUCACACCUGGACCUUCAGGACAUUAUAUAGCGUCAGAGACUCUGAUAGGAGUUCAUAGCGCCACCCGGUGGCCCAUUCAUUUAAUGUUGAAAUUCUCUUACAUUCGUAUCUCAAAUAUGACCUCUUGCAUUAGUUAUUUCUAAUAUGAUAACGUGUCCAUUGAUGUAAGAAAAGUGUUCAAGUUGAUGUUGAAAAGUGUUCAUUAAAUCACUAAUGUAAUAUGAGAUAAUGUGCCUUAGUGGAUUGUACUGAGUUUACCCACCUGCGAAUCCAAGUCACUUAACCAGGGUAG
This is a long non-coding RNA of Pseudophryne corroboree (corroboree frog), 1636 nucleotides long. RefSeq lists it as uncharacterized. The transcript is spliced from 3 exons. NCBI's taxonomy places the organism in Eukaryota, Metazoa, Chordata, Amphibia, Anura, Myobatrachidae. The record is from RefSeq and is a predicted model, not a curated record.